GGCUCAGGUCACAAUCCUAGAGUCCUGGGAUAGAAUCCUACAUAGGCUCCCCACAGGGUUCCUGGUUUUCCCUUUGCCUAUGUCUCUGCCUCUCUUGCUGUGUCUCUCACGAAUAAAUAAAUAAAAUAUUUUUUAAAAACCACAGGAAAAGAACCAAAGAACAAGAAACAGACUACAAAAAUAACCAUAAAACAAUCAACAGAAUGGCACUAAAUAAACUUUAAAUAUAGGGGUACUUGGGGGACUCGGUUGGUUAAGCAUCUACCUACAGCUCAGGUUAUGAUCCCAGGGGCCUGAGAUCGAGCCCUGAAUUGGGCUCCUUGUUCAGUGGGGAGUCUGCUUCUCUUCUCCUCCCUUUGCUCAUGUGUGAGCUCUCUCUCUCUCUCUCUCUCUCUCCAAAAUAAAGAAGAUCUUAAAAAAAAAUUAAAUGUAAAUGGGCUAAAUGCUCCAAACAAAAGACAGAGGAUCACAGAAUGGAUAAAAAACAAGGAACUGCCCUCCUCACACCAAAUAAGACUAUCUAUAUGCUGCCUAUAAGACAUUACUUCAAACCUAAAGAGAUAUACAGAUUGAAAGUAAAGGCAUGGAAAAAAAUAUUCCAUGCAAAUAGAGGUGGAACAAAAACUGGGAUAUCAAUACUUACACCAGAGAAGACAAAUUUGUUUUUAAACCAAAGGCUAUAACAAGAGACAAAGAAGGGCAUUACAUAAUGAUAACGGGAUCAAUCCAACAAGACUGAUAUAUAAAUAAAUAUACACUAUAAUUAUCUAUGCACCCAACAUAGAAACACCUAAAUACAUAAAGCAAAUAACAACAAAAAGAGAGACACAAGCAGUAAUAGUAGGCAACUUAAACACCUCACUACAUCAAGGGAUAGAUCAUUCAGACAGAAAAUCAACAAGGCAACUGUAGUUUUAAGUAACACAUUAGGUCAGAUGGACCUAACAGAUGUGUAUAGAACAUUCCAUCCAAACACAGCAGAAUAUACAUUCUUUUCAACUGCACAUGGAACAUUCUCUAAGAUCACAUGUCAGGCCACAAAACAAAUCUCAAUAAAUUUAAGAAUAUGAAAUCAUAUCAAGCAUCUUUCCUGACCACAAUGGCAUGAGUGUAGAAAUUACAAGAAAAAAUUUGGGAAAAAACACAGAGACAUGGAGGCUAAACAACAUGCUACUAAACAACCAAUGGGUCAACAAAGAAAUAAAGAGGAAACAAACAAAAUAC
This 1224-nucleotide long non-coding RNA is filed under the name Canis lupus familiaris (dog). RNAcentral describes it as "lncRNA (ENSCAFG00000054629.1)". The record is from RNAcentral. Lineage: Eukaryota; Metazoa; Chordata; Mammalia; Carnivora; Canidae.